Molecule: long non-coding RNA, 170 nt
Organism: Dioscorea cayenensis subsp. rotundata (Guinea yam)
Lineage: Eukaryota; Viridiplantae; Streptophyta; Magnoliopsida; Dioscoreales; Dioscoreaceae
Exons: 3
Source: RefSeq, a predicted model, not a curated record
CUACUCUUUUCUUAAAAAUUUUCCGGCGAGGUUUUACGGUGAACUAAAACCUCCAUUCUCCUUCUCCCAUCCUCUUGAAUACGAAUUAUUGGCUCGAGGUAAAGAUUUAACCGAGGAUUAGCUUGCGAGGAAGACAAAUCGCCAAUUCAGUAUCAGUUCAGUGAAGCGAU